UUCCCAUCCACACGCCUCCCUUUCCCAGGCACACGCCCUUCUGUGACACAAUACAAAAAAGUUUGGUGAAGAAAAAUUCUAUCACGGAAAAGAUUAUUUUGAGUGCAAAUAGUUGAUCAAGUUUGAGCCUUGAGAAGAGUGCCUGAGAGACAGAGAGAGCCUGGACAAGAUAAUUGGCAUCGAGCACAUUUGUUUUUUCUCAUUCACAAUCUAACGUUAUGGAGUCGGCCAUCCAGACAGUGGUAGGAGUGUAUCUGAAGUCUGCCAAAGGGAAGGACAGUCUCGGAGAUAAGGACUUCCAGGGCCUCGUCAAUAAACAGCUCGGCAACAUCAUGACUGGAACCAGACAGUUCCUCUGCAGUGAAGGAGAUGCGUAAGGGUUUGGACGAAAACAAAGAUGGGAAGGUCAGCUUCCAGGAAUACAUGAACUCUGAUUGGCUACGUGGCAAACACCCUCAGCGAGCAGAGGACUGCAGCCAACACACCUGCCUCAUAGGAACUACAUAUGGCUUCAUAGACACAUCUAUAAGAUGUCUUAUGCAGUCUAUAUAGGCAGGGUUCUUCAAUCCUGGUCCUAGUGACCCACGGGUGUGCAGGCUUUAGUUCCAUACCAGCACUGACACACCAGAUGAAACUCGUGAAGGCUUUGAUGGGAUUGAUUACAGUGUGUGUGACCACAGGGCCAGAAUUGAA
This is a non-coding RNA of Salvelinus sp. IW2-2015, 693 nucleotides long. NCBI's taxonomy places the organism in Eukaryota, Metazoa, Chordata, Actinopteri, Salmoniformes, Salmonidae. The record is from RefSeq and is a predicted model, not a curated record.